AACGAACGCUGGCGGCAUGCCUAACACAUGCAAGUCGAACGAGACCUUCGGGUCUAGUGGCGCACGGGUGCGUAACGCGUGGGAACCUGCCCUUAGGUUCGGAAUAACUCCCCGAAAGGGGUGCUAAUACCGGAUAAUGUCUUCGGACCAAAGAUUUAUCGCCUUUGGAUGGGCCCGCGUUGGAUUAGCUAGUUGGUAGGGUAAAAGCCUACCAAGGCGACGAUCCAUAGCUGGUCUGAGAGGAUGAUCAGCCACACUGGGACUGAGACACGGCCCAGACUCCUACGGGAGGCAGCAGUCGGGAAUAUUGGACAAUGGGCGAAAGCCUGAUCCAGCAAUGCCGCGUGAGUGAUGAAGGCCUUAGGGUUGUAAAGCUCUUUUACCCGGGAUGAUAAUGACAGUACCGGGAGAAUAAGCUCCGGCUAACUCCGUG
This 433-nucleotide ribosomal RNA is filed under the name uncultured bacterium. Its description in RNAcentral is "partial 16S ribosomal RNA". It matches the Rfam family "Bacterial small subunit ribosomal RNA", at positions 29 to 507 of the family's 1533-position model. The record is from RNAcentral.